AUCCUUCUGGUUCAUACAUAUGAUGAUUGGGAUUUCUCGCGCGUGCGUGAGAUGUGCCGCCCUGCUUAUUCUUGUUACGCACAGGUACAUUACCCAUCUGAUU
This is a small nucleolar RNA of Trichosurus vulpecula (common brushtail), 103 nucleotides long. RefSeq annotates it as small nucleolar RNA U13. The record is from RefSeq and is a predicted model, not a curated record. The transcript has a single exon. NCBI's taxonomy places the organism in Eukaryota, Metazoa, Chordata, Mammalia, Diprotodontia, Phalangeridae.